This 394-nucleotide ribosomal RNA is filed under the name uncultured bacterium. RNAcentral describes it as "bacterial SSU rRNA". It matches the Rfam family "Bacterial small subunit ribosomal RNA", at positions 28 to 420 of the family's 1533-position model. The record is from RNAcentral.
GACGAACGCUGGCGGCGUGCUUAACACAUGCAAGUCGAGCGGUAAGGCCCUUUCGGGGGUACACGAGCGGCGAACGGGUGAGUAACACGUGGGUGACCUGCCCUCAGCUCUGGGAUAAGCCUGGGAAACCGGGUCUAAUACUGGAUAUGACUCCAUGACGCAUGUUGUGGGGUGGAAAGCCUUGUGCGGCUGAGGAUGGGCCCGCGGCCUAUCAGCUUGUUGGUGGGGUGANGGCCUACCAAGGCGACGACGGGUAGCCGGCCUGAGAGGGCGACCGGCCACACGUGGGACUGAGACACGGCCCAGACUCCUACGGGAGGCAGCAGGUGGGGAAUCUUGCGCAAGUGGGCGAAAGCCUGACGCAGCGACGCCGCGUGAGGGAUGACGGCCUGGU